Molecule: ribosomal RNA, 426 nt
Filed under: uncultured bacterium
Lineage: Bacteria
Description: bacterial SSU rRNA
Rfam family: Bacterial small subunit ribosomal RNA
Source: RNAcentral
UGGGGAAUUGUUCGCAAUGGGCGCAAGCCUGACGACGCAACGCCGCGUGGAGGAUGAAGGUCUUCGGAUUGUAAACUCCUGUUGAUCGGAACGAACUCCUCCGGGGCCAAUACCCCCGGAGACUGACGGUACCGCUAGAGGAAGCACCGGCUAACUCCGUGCCAGCAGCCGCGGUAAGACGGAGGGUGCUAGCGUUGUUCGGAAUCACUGGGCGUAAAGGGCGCGUAGGCGGCCCGUGCAGUCGGCUCGUGAAAGCCCGGGGCUCAACCCCGGAGGUGCGGCCGAUACUCAUGGGCUCGAGGCCGGAAGAGGAGGGUGGAAUACCCAGUGUAGAGGUGAAAUUCGUAGAUAUUGGGUGGAACACCGGUGGCGAAAGCGGCUCUCUGGUCCGGUCCUGACGCUGAGGCGCGAAAGCGUGGGGAGCAA